UACGGAGGGUGCGAGCGUUAAUCGGAAUUACUGGGCGUAAAGCGUGCGUAGGCGGUUCGUUAAGUCAGAUGUGAAAGCCCUGGGCUCAACCUGGGAACGGCAUUUGAAACUGGCGGACUAGAGUUUAGUAGAGGGGAGUGGAAUUUCAGGUGUAGCGGUGAAAUGCGUAGAUAUCUGAAGGAACACCAGUGGCGAAGGCGACUCCCUGGACUAGAACUGACGCUGAGGUACGAAAGCGUGGGUAGCAAACAGGAUUAUAUACCCUGUUAGUCCACGCCGUAAACGAUGUCAACUAGCCGUUGGUCCUAUUUACAGUAUUAGUGGCGCAGCUAACGCAUUAAGUUGACCGCCUGGGGAGUACGGCCGCAAGGUUA
Molecule: ribosomal RNA, 374 nt
Filed under: uncultured prokaryote
Description: bacterial SSU rRNA
Rfam family: Bacterial small subunit ribosomal RNA
Source: RNAcentral